CUUCUUAUCUUGGUUUCUUGCUCUUGUUCAAAGAAGUGAGGAGCUGAAGAGAAGGCUAAUCGAUCCUCUGCACAAUCCAUUGAUCGCCAUAUCUACGUCUACUGUAACAGAACAAGUGAAGAACUCAAGAGAAGGCCAGACAAUCCUGAGCACACUUGUUUGAUCGCUGGCCUUAUCUACGUGUACUAAAACAGAACUGUGGUGAGGCCGUGAGGGGCCAAGGGAUCCUGGUGCCAGUUCUCUGACCACCUCCUGUACUUGGGCUGAAACAGUGAACAUGCCAUCCCAGUUAGAAGAUUUUACCAAGACGGGUGUCCUUACACGGGCUUAUCCCCUUGUUGGUGAGUAUUGUCCACAUAAUCUUCAGGAUGGCUUUCUUGUUGAAGAAAGGAUAAAGAUUCUUGUCAAGACUAUGGCUAGAGAUUUGGAUGCCCAUCAUCAGGAGGGUCAUUGCAUCUCAGCAU
This is a long non-coding RNA of Lolium rigidum, 464 nucleotides long. RefSeq lists it as uncharacterized. The record is from RefSeq and is a predicted model, not a curated record. The transcript is spliced from 4 exons. Lineage: Eukaryota; Viridiplantae; Streptophyta; Magnoliopsida; Poales; Poaceae.